Molecule: unclassified non-coding RNA, 386 nt
Filed under: fungal sp.
Lineage: Eukaryota; Fungi
Description: partial internal transcribed spacer region
Rfam family: Eukaryotic small subunit ribosomal RNA (bases 1-46)
Source: RNAcentral
AAGUCGUAACAAGGUUUCCGUAGGUGAACCUGCGGAAGGAUCAUUAACACGUAUCUCACGUUUAUAAACCCAAUGUGAACUCGUAUAGUCGCUUGAUGUGACGGGGAGCAUUUGAUCUUCGGGAUCAAGAGUCGAACACAAAAUGGUAGAGAGAAGCUUUUGGGUUUCUCUGUUUGACUUUCACUUUGACACACGCUUAGUCGAGCGGCGCUUUUUGUUUUUUCCCUACCAUUUUAACCCCCUUAUAUUACUAACCCCUUUUACCUUUUAUUGGUACUAAACUUUACUAGCUAUUUGAUUUUUUUUUCUUUCACGAGAGGAAAAAAUUAAAUAACUAAUAUUACGAAAACAAAGAACAACUCUUAGCAACGGAUAUCUUGGUUCUC